This 497-nucleotide ribosomal RNA is filed under the name uncultured bacterium. RNAcentral's name for it is "partial 16S ribosomal RNA". It matches the Rfam family "Bacterial small subunit ribosomal RNA", at positions 30 to 523 of the family's 1533-position model. The record is from RNAcentral.
AUUGAACGCUGGCGGCAUGCCUUACACAUGCAAGUCGAACGGUAACAGGUCUUCGGAUGCUGACGAGUGGCGAACGGGUGAGUAUACAUCGGAACGUGCCUAGUAGUGGGGGAUAACUACUCGAAAGAGUGGCUAAUACCGCAUGAGAUCUACGGAUGAAAGCAGGGGAUCGCAAGACCUUGUGCUACUAGAGCGGCCGAUGGCAGAUUAGGGAGUUGGUGGGUUAAAAGCUUACCAAGCCGACGAUCUGUAGCUGGUCUGAGAGGAACAUCCGCCACACUGGGACUGAGACACGGCCCAGACUCCUACGGGAGGCAGCAGUGGGGAAUUUUGGACAAUGGGCGCAAGCCUGAUCCAGCAAUGCCGCGUGCAGGAUGAAGGCCUUCGGGUUGUAGACUGCUUUUGUACGGAACGAAAAGCCCUGGGUUAAUACCCUGGGGUCAUGACGGUACCGUAAGAAUAAGCACCGGCUAACUACGUGCCAGCCGCCGCGGUAA